RNAcentral lists this microRNA precursor (63 nucleotides) under Blattella germanica (German cockroach). RNAcentral describes it as "Bge-Mir-316_pre stem-loop". The record is from RNAcentral. Lineage: Eukaryota; Metazoa; Arthropoda; Insecta; Blattodea; Blattellidae.
UGUCUUUUUCCGCUUUGCUGCCGCUGUUGUUUAGAGAUUCGACAGCAAAGUGGAAGAGGCCGA